GAAGAUUACUUCCUAUUGAUGUAUAUAUACUUUGUUCUUUGUUCACGUCUCUCAUAACUAUAUUAACAAAUAUGAAUACCAAAGUAACAAUUUUCUUUCUGGUCUGUGUUUUCGGUAAGCAAACAUUUUAUACUCAGUUUAAUAACCUUUUUUUCGUCUGUAUUGUAAUACUAUUUUAAUCAUCUUUUGUUAUCUUACAUGUCUAAGAUAAUAUUUGCAACAUUCAACGCGAUGUGUGAACUAAACAAGCAAACAUUAUAGGUAUAAACAAUAGGGGUACAGCAUUCAACAUUGUGUUAUUAUCUUAAUAAUUAUUACGCACACAAAUAUAUAAACGAACAAUAACCAUAUCACAAUAACACAAUGACAUGAUUUAUAAGUACAGAGCUACGACAAAUGUAACAAAGAAACGCAGAAAUACAUAGAGAUACUCUCGAUGUAUUAUGUCUAAAUGAUUCACUGUUAAAUAAAUAUUGAUAAUUAUAAUAUAUUAUCCAAUUUGUAUAUUUACGCUACCGAAGACUUAUUCAACUGGUCUCACAGUGAAAGCACAUGAACACUUAUGAUACUUAUGUACUUUGGAUCCAGAUAAAUCCGUAAGGACACGUGGCAAAUUUAUUUGGCCUUUAUCCCGUUUGCAGUUAGUUUAUAUCAACUUCUAAUUGGGUAAAAUUAUCUGUUCAGCUUCUGGGGGCAUCGUUCACAAAUUGUACAAACUAGCCUGGCUAAACGUGACGUCAUACAAAUGAAAACUUACCAACUGAAGGUUAUUACGUUACCUCAACGAUUGAAAUUUGGAUAAAAUCAUAUCAAAACGGCGAUUUUUAGAUAGGUGUUGUUUUAUUGUCAGUAAUUAUAAUGUAGUAAUCGAACAUUUGUUGAUCCAUCCAAUUCAAUUUGGCGGGUCCCAUGGGUUACGACUGGUUAACUGGAUUUGACAGUAGCUUUUAGCAAAUAAAAUAAAUUAUUACAUGAAAAUUUCAUUAGAAAUGUGUUUUGAUUAUUUUAAACGGAAUAAAUCUCUCAUAUAUGUAGAACCUAUACAUUAUAUGUUAUACUAACAAUAUAAUGUGUUGGGAGAACCACAUAGUAUUGUGUAAGAAAUACAUAUUAUGUUGAAAGUCAAAUGUAUAAUGUUGCAGGUAACACAUGCUAUGUUGAAAGUAUCUUAUAUAGUAUUGUAACUACCGCAAAUAAUAGUGUUAGUAACACAGAUAAGGUUUAAAGUACAACAUACAUUAUGAAUAGUACAACAUAUAAUGUUGUGAGUACCACGAAUAAUUCUAAAAGUACCACACAUUAUAUUCUAAGUACCACAUAUAAUUUUGCUAGUACUACAUUUUAUGUUGUAAGUAUCACAAAUAAUAUUGUUAGUACCAUAAUGUAAUAUCUGAGUGAAAAAGUAUGUUUCAAAAAGAUCCAGGUCAAAGGUGCUUGUGCAGACAUGGUAUUAGUUAAACAAUGAUAUUUCCCUCUUAAUCAGAUGAGAUGUGCUAUGUUUUGGUUUUAUAACACACCCAGCAUACAUUUUGUAUGAAGCAUGUGUUCGUCGCAUGUCUGGGAUUUUUUAUACGAAAUUUAUCGAAGUAUGGUCUUCUCUUGAAAUAACAUGCAUCGAUGUGAGGCAACUUGAAGGUAAUGUGUUAUAGUCCUUACUUUAAAUUAUAAUCAGAUAUAGGAAGAUGUGGUGUGAGUGCCAAUGAGACAACUCUCCAUCCAAAGAACAAUCUAAAAAGUAAACCAUUAUAGGCCUUCAAUACGGAGCCUUGGCUCACACCGAAAAACAAGCUAUAAAGGGCCCCAAAAUUACUAUUGUAAAAUCAUUCAAACGGGAAAACCAACGGUCUAAUCUAUAUAAACAAAACGGGAAACGAGAAACACGUAUAUAUUACAUAAACAAACGACAACUACUGUACAUCAGAUUUCUGACUUAGGACAGGUGCAAAUAUUUGCAGCGGGAUUAAACGUUUUAAUGGAUUCAAACCUUCUCCCUUUUUCUGAAACAAUAGCAUAACAUCACAACAUAGAAAAACACCCGAUAAAAUAUCAAUUGGCAGACUUAACUCAAUCAAAAAACGUAUGGUUAAUUGUUCACUUUUACCAGCUGUGACUUGAAUGGCACUCAUAACACAUCUGUUAUCUAUCUAUACACACCUGUAUCUGUAAAAACACAAAUUUUACGUUUCAGUUUUCAUCACAGGAGAGUCAUGUAACAACGUGAGCGGUUGUGUGUACACCAGAUGCGCAGGCCAAACUAAGAUUACCUGUAUUAACCACUUGUGUACUUGUAUGCGUGCCCAUGGUAAAGUUGUUUACUUCAAAUAUAAUUGCAUACCUUGAAAUAAGGUGUUCUGCUACAAAAAGAAAAUGACCUUGUUUAAAUAAUCAACAAUUUCGAAGUAUGAGUUACUUUCAAUACACCCUUCACCGUUCAAAAAAACCCAUUUAAACCUUUUGAAAGAUUUUCAGGAGUUUAGCUUGAAAUGAUGAAUAUAAAUGAAUACGAGUUCACUUGUUGAGCAUUUAUGAUUUACACAACCAAACGACAAACAGGUGCCUUUACAGUAUUUAGAUAGGAAAAAUUGUAUGGCAAAGUUAGUGAAUUUUUAAUUCCAAUUUUGUAUGUAUUUUCCUCGUGUCCGACUGUAGGUUUUUCAAAAUUUCAAAAACAGAAGAACAAAAAUCAUGGCCAAAAAUGAUGGUAGGAACGAUGAUCUCUCAAUUUAAUACUUGGCAAUAGACAAGGCUGUUUAAUAAAAAGUAUAAUAUUGUUUUGUUUAUUUUUUGUAGCAUGUAAAGAAGACAUGGCUUGCGAGAUUUAUUGUCAUCCAGAAAAAGCACAUUGUAUUCGUGAACGUUGUUCGUGUAGCCCUCAUUAGACCUUUUCAACAUCUCUCGACACCGACUAAUGACACCUACAGUUUACAGGUAGAAUGGAUGGGUCGUCUCAAAGACAAAAACCAUCAUGAUUAUUGUUACGGUAACAUAUUGGAUUGGCGGUUUUAUACUGUUUUGACUAUAUAGUUUAAGAAUAUAUAUCAACCAAAUUAAUAAAUAAAUAUAUGUAUGGUGGCCGGAUGCGGCCAUUUAUUUCGCCUUUUCGCGUUUUUGUGACUUCUCCUUGCAUUUUGCAAACGCGAAAUUGGGAAUUCGAGAAAUCGAGAAAGCAAAAUCGAGAAAUUGAGAAAUCGGGAAAUCGAG
This 3201-nucleotide long non-coding RNA is filed under the name Mytilus galloprovincialis (Mediterranean mussel). Lineage: Eukaryota; Metazoa; Mollusca; Bivalvia; Mytilida; Mytilidae. The record is from RNAcentral.